This is a long non-coding RNA of Dromiciops gliroides (monito del monte), 763 nucleotides long. RefSeq lists it as uncharacterized. The record is from RefSeq and is a predicted model, not a curated record. The transcript has 3 exons. Lineage: Eukaryota; Metazoa; Chordata; Mammalia; Microbiotheria; Microbiotheriidae.
CAAAGCAAAGAGGCUUUCCCCUCUGGGUCUGGGAGAAUGGUGAUCAGGUUUCACUGGAGAAGCUAGGAAACUGCAAGCUUACACACUGGGGGAAGGAAGCCACUAUCAGCUCCAUCUUCCCUGCAAUCUAAUGAAUUCCUGUGAAUUCAGUCUCCUCUGACUGCUCCACUGGCACCUCCAGGUUUGCUUGCUUCUUGUCUCUUGGUGUCCUCCUGCUCCCAUGGUUUGCUUUCUGGGAUUGUUGAAGAGCAGGAAAUCACCAAAGAUACACUGCAGCCUCUCUGCUGGCUAAUGAGUUCUGCUGGCUGCCAAAGAAGAGAGCUCCUACUGAACUUGUGGGGGUUAUUUGAUUCAUUGAGCAGGCCUUCACCAGUCACUGGCUUAAUACAAUAUGUAAAUAAAAAGAGAAAAGUAGCAUCUGCAGAAUAGGAGGCAUUUAAUGGCACCAGACAAGCUAGUCAUAGUAGACUUCGUACCUCCAUGGACUUGAAUAAUAAAAAUGUGUGUAUGUCAGCUGUGUCUGAAAACAGUAUGUGACAGAGAAACUUUUGGAGAAGCUGUAGGAAUACAAAUGAAUAUGGUGUAUGAUGAGGAGAGGACGGGGAGGGAAGGGUUGCCAUUUUCCAAGCUUAGAAAUAAACUGUUAACCUGUUUAAAGCUUUCAACAUAAGGUGUGAGUUUUCCUUCCUUUUAUAGGCAUUGGAGCUCCUGAGAAGAAUAACAAUAAUUCAUAUUUAUAAGUUUGCAGCAUGGUGUAGUAGAG